GCGCACAAGCAAGAUGAAAGUGAUGAAAGGCGUUGCCAAUGUCGUCCGUGGCUAUGCGCCGAGUGCGAGCAGAGUCAGAGUCUUAGGCGUACAAAUGCCUGAGAGUGUGGCCAAGCAAGUGGAUCGGCGCCAAAUCAAAAGGAAACUGCAGAAGCGAGUGGAGUGAACGAAAUGCAUCUUGUUCUAUUCCAGCACUAUAUUAUGCGUGUCUCCUGAAAGUUAUGUCUAUGACUUGCAGUCUACUGUGGAACUUUAGCAUUAUAACUGGAUGAUCUGUGAUCGCAUUGUAAGAUAUUUGUCAUGUCGUUGACAUGGUAUGUUAUGUACUUCCCAUUUGAGCAAAUUCUAUGAAGAUGAGGCUGCGUUUUUAUAGGCGAGAACAGCGUCCAGACCUGCUCGGGUUGGGCUGCUGCUGCAUCUGUUUUGAGUAAGUUGUAUGAAAAUGAGUCUUAUGCAUUGUUAUCGGGG
This 468-nucleotide long non-coding RNA is filed under the name Triticum aestivum (bread wheat). RNAcentral's name for it is "long non-coding RNA (TAES_LNC012193)". Lineage: Eukaryota; Viridiplantae; Streptophyta; Magnoliopsida; Poales; Poaceae. The record is from RNAcentral.